Molecule: ribosomal RNA, 392 nt
Filed under: uncultured bacterium
Lineage: Bacteria
Description: partial 16S ribosomal RNA
Rfam family: Bacterial small subunit ribosomal RNA
Source: RNAcentral
AUACGGAGGACGCGAGCGUUAUCCGGAUUCAUUGGGUUUAAAGGGUGCGCAGGCGGCCGUGCAAGUCAGCGGUGAAAGCCCAGGGCUCAACCCCAUUCUGCCGUUGAUACUGGGUGGCUUGAUUGCGGUCGAGGUUGGCGGAAUUCGUUGUGUAGCGGGGAAAUGCAUAGAUAUGACGAAGAACACCGAUUGCGUAGGCAGCUGACCAGAUCGCAAAUGACGCUCAUGCACGAAAGUGCGGGGAUCGAACAGGAUUAGAUACCCUGGUAGUCCGCACAGUAAACGAUGAAUACUUGUUUUCGGCGAUAUAAUGUCGGAGGCAAAGCGAAAGCGAUAAGUAUUCCACCUGGGGAGUACGGCCGCAAGGUUGAAACUCAAAUGAAUUGGCGGGG